Long non-coding RNA from Sciurus carolinensis (gray squirrel), 812 nucleotides. RefSeq lists it as uncharacterized. Lineage: Eukaryota; Metazoa; Chordata; Mammalia; Rodentia; Sciuridae. The transcript has 3 exons. The record is from RefSeq and is a predicted model, not a curated record.
GUGACUAAUAAAAUGUCCUUUCUGAAGGAAAUCACCUUUCCAAGGUAUGUGUCCAAUGCAGAGAAGUCAUUAUGUUCAGGAGUUGUCUGCACUUCUGUGUUCACAACAGCACUAUUAUGUUGAUGAGAUGUCUGCUCUUCUGUGUUCACAGUAACCAAGAAUCAGCCUCAGUGUCAAUCAACAGACAAGUGGGGAAAGGAAAAGUGGGACAUAAGCACAGUGUAAUGCUGUGCCUCCUUAACAGAUGGACUUUCUUGCUAUCUAUAUACACCCAAGUGCACAGAAUUAUAUCAGUCACAACAGUAAUUUUCCUGUUUCUUUUCCAGAAAUUCUCACAAAUCCAAAACAGAUGAAUAUAGAUAUCCUCAAAAUGUGGAUCAAAGUUUUUAAUAAAAUAUUUUCACAAUUAUAUCUCCAAACUUCUAACUCCAUUAUAGUUUUAAUAUUAUUAAAUUCAACACUUAUUAUCAUCUUGAUGUCUGAGCAAGGCUUAGCACUGUUGAUUCACAUUGCACAUAUUUUCAGGGCAGUGAUUGGAAGUUUUCUUUUUCCAUGUUUCCAUCUUGCCAGAGUUCAUCUUUACUGAUGGUUCAGUCUUGCUGUCUUCCUGCUGCUAGGUGGGACAACAUCUACAAAGAGAUUUAAUGAUUUACCAAGGAACUGAGAGUUCACAUGUGGAGAAGCUGGGAUCCAAACCCAUAUACCAGGCUCUAAAGCAGAUGUUCUUAAUCAAUACAAUGUAAAAACUCAAAACAAUAGUAUUUCAAUGAAUAAUUUUAGGCUUUUAUUGAGAUGAAAAAAUAUAAUUUGCA